This 253-nucleotide ribosomal RNA is filed under the name uncultured bacterium. RNAcentral describes it as "partial 16S ribosomal RNA". It matches the Rfam family "Bacterial small subunit ribosomal RNA", at positions 524 to 776 of the family's 1533-position model. The record is from RNAcentral.
UACGUAGGGGGCAAGCGUUGUCCGGAAUCAUUGGGCGUAAAGAGCGUGUAGGCGGCCCGAUAAGUCGGUUGUGAAAGUCAAGGGCUCAACCCUUGAAUGCCGACCGAUACUGUCGGGCUAGAGUCCGGAAGAGGUGAGUGGAAUUCCUGGUGUAGCGGUGAAAUGCGCAGAUAUCAGGAGGAACACCAAUCGCGAAGGCAGCUCGCUGGGACGGUACUGACGCUGAGACGCGAAAGCGUGGGGAGCAAACAGG